CUGAUCUUAUUAGGAUGGAAGAGCUAUCAUAAAUAAGUGCAGUUCAUUACAUUAGAACCUUUCUCUGGAUGUGUUCUCAUCAUAAAAACAUUUGAAAUAAUAAGAUCUAUGGAUACUGCAUAUAUACUGAAAUUUCAUAGUUAUAUUAUAUAAGUAGAUAUUCUAAAAAUUUAGAGCAUGGUAACCCUGAGAAGCUUAUGAAGGAGUAAAGGAGGAAGAGAUAUUCCAGCCAAUUUCAUUUGUUUUUAUUUUCUUCCAGUCCUUUGCCACUUAGUAGUGGGCCUUCCAGGUCAGGACAAAAUCGCCUUAUCACCAUCUCGCAGGGACACGCCACACGCGCCCGUGAACCCAUGCUCCUUCACCUUAUCUCUUACUCCAGCCCACUGCCCUCACUUCAUUUCCUCUUCUCUGGAUCCCCUUCCUCGUCUAGCUCACUAGGGGUGCAGGUCGCAGUUGCAACACCAGCCGCAGGAAUCGGCGGGAUACGCUAGCCCUCAGUCCGGAUCGACGUCGAUGCCUCCGGCUCCGACAUGCACGCCCGCUGGACACCGCCGUGAACCACCUUGUUUCCCGCCUCUUGGACCGAGGUUGUCUUCGUCGGUUCCGUCGGCCGCCACUGCGGCACCGCGGUCAUCCUCCUCACCGAACAGCUCCAGGGACCAUGACGGGCUCCGUGUUGUCCGCAUCUCCUCUGGACCAUGGACUCGAAGCCGCGGGUCCCUCCUACUUCUUCCCUGACGUUGACUUCCAUUGUCGCUGUCCGGAGCUCGUUGCUCUGCUCCAUCCAACCUUGCCACUUACAGCAUGGGUUUCUUAAUCGUUUAAAUAGAGUCCGGCAAUGAGGGGUAUUAUGAGUUUGAUCCACAGCUUCAUCAGGACGCUGACCAGGAAG
Molecule: long non-coding RNA, 892 nt
Organism: Triticum aestivum (bread wheat)
Lineage: Eukaryota; Viridiplantae; Streptophyta; Magnoliopsida; Poales; Poaceae
Exons: 3
Source: RefSeq, a predicted model, not a curated record